AUUGAACGCUGGCGGCAGGCUUAACACAUGCAAGUCGAACGAGUGGCGGACGGGUGAGUAAUGCCUGGGAAACUGCCUGAUGGAGGGGGAUAACCACUGGAAACGGUAGCUAAUACCGCAUACUAUCGGAUGUGCCCAGAUGGGAUUGGCUAGUAGGUGGGGUAAAGGCUCACCAGGGCGACGAUCCCUGGCGGGUCUGAGAGGAGGACCAGCAACACUGGAACGGGGACACGGUCCAGACUCCUACGGGGGGCAGCAGUGGGGAAUAUUGCACAAUGGGCGCAAGCCUGAUGCAGCCAUGCCGCGUGUAUGAAGAAGGCCUUCGGGUUGUAAAGUACUUUCAGCGGGGAGGCGUUACCCGCAGAAGAAGCACCGGCUAACUCCGUGCCAGCAGCCGCGGUAAUAC
Molecule: ribosomal RNA, 406 nt
Filed under: uncultured bacterium
Lineage: Bacteria
Description: partial 16S ribosomal RNA
Rfam family: Bacterial small subunit ribosomal RNA
Source: RNAcentral